Lineus longissimus is the source of this 1474-nucleotide long non-coding RNA. RefSeq lists it as uncharacterized. The transcript is spliced from 2 exons. The record is from RefSeq and is a predicted model, not a curated record. NCBI's taxonomy places the organism in Eukaryota, Metazoa, Nemertea, Pilidiophora, Heteronemertea, Lineidae.
CUGUACUUUGCCCUCUGAUUCAACUGACCUGACAUCUACAGACUGAGUAUGACACUAUUAACGUAAGUGGGGAACACCCAGUUUCCUCUAUUAUAUCAAUGAUAAAGGCAACCAAGGUGAUAUAGAUAACACAUGACUUUAAAGUAAAUCACAAAGUCAAGCAGACAAUGGCAGUACCGGCACCAACUUAUGUGGACUUCAUGAUGCAUCAUCCCGUUUUUGUCACAACAAUCGUUCUUAUCAUAGCAGCAUCUCUGGUGAUUUGUUGGAUUUCGUACCAGGUCAGCCAACGUGACCGAGUCUCCGUAAAUACCAGAACGGAUCAGUACACAGGUCCUCUAGUCACAUGUGGAAUACGUCCACAGAAAACGGUGACAAGCACAGUCAACUCUUCGGGGAAAACCUUUAAAAGAAUAUUUUACGAUGCAUCGCAAGCUGAUCGAGCCAUCAAAGGAGAAUGAAUACCCUGCUUACGGACAAAAUGAUUCAAAGGUUAAAAAAUGCACCCAAUUCGCAAUUUCAGAAAAAUUAUAUUUUAAAUGGAAAAUACCAUACAACUGGUAUGGUGAGACUACGCAUUGAUCUUAAACUGAACUAUUUUCGUGUACAACCGCAAGCUGAUUGGUUUGAUACAGGUGUGUGAUCUUAAAAAUGUGACGAACUGCACGGAACAAGGAACUAGGAGUGAAAAUUUGAUUUCUCGACCUGAACGAAACUAUUGCCAUGCUCGGUGUCUUACCUAAUUUGUCGGUCUGUGAUAAUGAUUUAACUUGUUUUCUCUUCUUUUUCUUCUUCUUGAGCAUCAACCUCAUUGGUGCUUGAUGGACGUACGUCAGCGUUGCCGAGAAGAUAAAAUUCUGGCGUUUCCUUUUCUGAUUAUCGUCUCUUAAAAAUUAUGAAAUGGAAUGAAACUUAUUAGCCGAAAUACAAUCUAGUGUACGGUAAAUCAAGAAAACAAAGGUUUUAAUUUGGUGUCUUUUGGGGUCAGCAAAGUUCGUGAGAACAAAACACCAUUAAAAACAAUAUUUUAUCAAAAUAACUGUCAUAGUGGUGUAAUAAAAAAGCUGAAUUAAAACUACACCAAAGGUGCAAUUUCACAAAACCUCUGACUCUGACAGUCAGGAAUGUUUUUUCGGCUAACAGUACCAGGCCACCAAAGAUUGAUAGAGCAAUACAACAUAUCCCUCAGAAAAAUAGAGCAGAUGUAUAAAAUGUAAGUUGAUAUUCAUUAUUAUUGUAAAAUAUGCUAAAUUUCAAGGGCUUGGUGUUGACCAAAUUUUGGUGUAAUGACCGGUCUUGAAAAACGUCCUGAUCAGGUUAAAAAACAGUUCAAAAUCGUCCCACUAUACUGAAAGGUUGAUGUUGAACAUAAAUUUUUAAGGCACUUUUUUUCAAUAUUUUAAAGUAAAUGUAUUCGAUAUCAUAAUGGCAUCAUCAAUUUUGAAUAAUGAAUAAAAUCUGCUUUUCACUGUAA